CAUUACAAGUGAGGCUACCGAACGUUGGAAACAGCGAUUAGGAGCUUACACCCACCCGUGUUUACAUACUAUUGUUGCUUUGGCGGGCCGUGGCCUCCACUGCGGGCUCUGCUCGUGUGUGCCCGCCAGAGAACCAAACUCUGAAUGUUAGUGAUGUCUGAGUACUAUCUAAUAGUUAAAACUUUCAACAACGGAUCUCUUGGUUCUGGCAUCGAUGAAGAACGCAGCGAAAUGCGAUAAGUAAUGUGAAUUGCAGAAUUCAGUGAAUCAUCGAAUCUUUGAACGCACAUUGCGCCCUGUGGUAUUCCGCAGGGCAUGCCUGUUCGAGCGUCAUUUAACCACUCACGCCUAGCGUGGUAUUGGGGCACGCGGUCUCCGCGGCCCUCAAAAUUAGUGGCGGCGCCGGUGGGCUCUAAGCGUAGUACAUACUCCCGCUAUAGAGUUCCCCCCGGUGGCUCGCCAGAACCCCCAAUUUUUUACAGGUUG
This 486-nucleotide ribosomal RNA is filed under the name uncultured fungus. Its description in RNAcentral is "eukaryotic LSU rRNA". The stretch from base 180 to 333 matches the Rfam family "5.8S ribosomal RNA". The record is from RNAcentral. Lineage: Eukaryota; Fungi.